This 254-nucleotide unclassified non-coding RNA is filed under the name Hevea brasiliensis (rubber tree). Lineage: Eukaryota; Viridiplantae; Streptophyta; Magnoliopsida; Malpighiales; Euphorbiaceae. The record is from RNAcentral.
GUAUUCAAGAAAUUGCAUCCUCCUCACUGUGAAUCUAAAGAUAUCAGUCAAUGUAUAGGACCAACAGGAUGGCAAAUGGCUUUUUUGUUGAGUGGAUUCGGGCUACUGAUUAUAGGAGCAGCUGGGAUUAGGCCAUGUAACUUAGCCUUUGGUGCAGACCAAUUCAAUCCUAAUACAGAGUCUGGUAAAAGGGGUAUCAAUAGUUUUUUUAAUUGGUACUUUUUCACCUUAACAUUUGCACAAAUGGUGUCUGU